Sceloporus undulatus (fence lizard) is the source of this 442-nucleotide long non-coding RNA. RefSeq lists it as uncharacterized. The transcript has 4 exons. The record is from RefSeq and is a predicted model, not a curated record. Lineage: Eukaryota; Metazoa; Chordata; Lepidosauria; Squamata; Phrynosomatidae.
CCGCGGCAGCUGGCCAACUCUCCUCCCCUGGUUGCCAAGCUCUGGCCUGUGAGGCGCUGAGCCGAAGCCACUGCAAUUGCAAAGCUCCCUUGCAGCCCCUUUGCAGGUUGCAUUUACAGACUCCCUCCAGCUAGCCUUGGGGGACAAUUAAAUCACUAACUCCCUUUCUCCCCCCUCUUCCACUCAAAAGAGUUCACAUUUUUCAGGAUCUGGAGAUACAUGAAUAUUUCUGCAGCACUGAGAAGUCACACAAUCGGAUUUCUUGCGGGUGGCAGAGCCAGGACAAGCACCAUUUAAGGGCGCUGGCUACAUUGAUGUACCAUGGCAGCUACAAGUGUCCAGGCACCACGCAGCUUGCCUCCAACUCCAUCUGCCUCAGAAUCAAGCUUUCUUGAGACUUCUGUGAGAGAACGAAUGAGAGAGAAACUGAAAGCAGCACGGG